RNAcentral lists this ribosomal RNA (426 nucleotides) under uncultured bacterium. RNAcentral describes it as "bacterial SSU rRNA". It matches the Rfam family "Bacterial small subunit ribosomal RNA", at positions 354 to 796 of the family's 1533-position model. The record is from RNAcentral.
GUGAGGAAUUUUCCGCAAUGGGCGAAAGCCUGACGGAGCAAUGCCGCGUGAAGGAUGAAGGCCUAUGGGUUGUAAACUUCUUUUCUCAGAAAAGAAUUAUGACGGUAUCUGAGGAAUAAGCAUCGGCUAACUCUGUGCCAGCAGCCGCGGUAAGACAGAGGAUGCAAGCGUUAUCCGGAAUGAUUGGGCGUAAGGCGUCUGUAGGUUGUUUAAAAAGUAUGCUGUCAAAGAUUAGGGCUUAACCCUAGAUAGGCAGAAUAAACUUUUAAGCUAGAGUUUGGUAGAGGCAGAGGGAAUUCCCGGUGGAGCGGUGAAAUGCGUAGAUAUCGGGAGGAACACCAAAGGCAAAGGCACUCUGCUGGGCCAAUACUAACACUGAGAGACGAAAGCGAGGGGAGCAAAUGGGAUUAGAAACCCCUGUAGUCC